CACCUUCUGAGGGAGCAGACAUGCACACACGUGAAUGAUGGCUGGUGCCAGCUUGCUUUCGGCAGCCAGUGGGAUCUGCUUCAAGUGGCUAGAGGGAUCAAUUCAGCUGCUGCUUUUUCUUGCCAGGCUCUGAUAGAUGGACAGCUGAGGAGAAGGAGGCCUUCCAAAAGGCUUUCCACACCUACGGCAAGGAUUUCCAUCUCAUCCAGAAGCAGAUCCCGAGUAAGACCGUGGCACAGUGUGUGGAGUACUACUACUGCUGGAAAAAAGAGCAGAAACUUGCCAGCAGCACUCUUGCUCAGACUGCGGGCAAACGGAAGAGGAGGAAAAGCCCUCCCAGGAAGGAGACAGGGGAGACCGGGAAGAGAAGCCGCAAGCGGGCUGGCAGCGCGGAGUGUCCCUGCUGCCAACCGCGCCAGCCGCCCCA
This is a long non-coding RNA of Passer domesticus (house sparrow), 427 nucleotides long. RefSeq lists it as uncharacterized. Lineage: Eukaryota; Metazoa; Chordata; Aves; Passeriformes; Passeridae. The record is from RefSeq and is a predicted model, not a curated record. The transcript has 3 exons.